CCUACCUGGUUGAUCCUGCCAGUAAUCAUAUGCUUGUUUCAAAGAUUAAGCCAUGCAUGUCUAAGUCCAAGCUGUGUCUAACAUGGCGAUACCGCGGACGGCUCAUUAAAUCAGUCUUGGUCCAUAUGGGUCUGUGAUCACUAUACCUGGAUAACUGUGGUAAUUCCAGAGCUAAUACAUGCAACCGAUAUCCCGAUGGCGUCUUGCUCUCUUGUAGGGCAUGUUCGUUUUGACGGAUGCUUUUAUUAGACCAAACCGCUGAGGGCGUGCGUUGCUUCUUGCAACCUCCUCGCUCGACUCGCUUAAUGGUGACUCUGGAUAACCUUUUUGACAAGCGCACGUACCACUCAUUGAGAUGGACGGCGCUACCACUUUCGAGUGUCUGCCUUAUCAGCUGUCAACCGUUCGUUAUGUGCGACCGAUGGCUUUGACGGGUAACGGAGAAUCAGGGUUCGAUUCCGGAGAGGCAGCCUGAGAAACGGCUACCACGUCCAAGGACGGCAGCAGGCACGCAAAUUACCCAAUCCCAGCACCUGGGGGAGGUAGUGACGAAAUCUAACGAUGCGGGCGCCCUUUCUGGGGCCCCGCAAUCGGAAUGGGCACUUUCUAAACAACCUGUUGAGAACCUACUGAAGGGCAAGUCUGGUGCCAGCAGCCGCGGUAAUUCCAGCUUCAGCAGCAUCUAUUAAAGUUGCUGCGGUUAAAAGGCUCGCAGUUGAAUGUCAGUAUCGAGCGCAGGUCAGGUGGACGUUGGGGCGUGGGAAUAAAAGGUGUGCGUUCAGACGCGACUUGUGCUUUCGGGUGCAGUCUCAACGUUUGGCGUGCAUCUCUCACGAGCCCCCGUCCGUUGACAAGCCUCCUCGCUUGUGUACAUAUCGGAAUUGGUCAAUUGGAGUGUGCGUGGUUCUUGAUCUUGUGCGGUUUUCCGUGCUUGCGUUGAGGGCUCGUACAUUAAGCUCCUUCGGUUUCAUAUUCACCUUGAGUAAAUCAGAGUGCUCAAAGCAGUCGUAGGGGCGUAAGCCCUGUGAAAAGUCUUGACAGACUGACUUGGUUAUGCAUGGCAUGUUGAAAGACGACGUCGCGUGCUGGCUCAGAGGGAUAUAUCAGUGGUGUAAGCCAGCCGCGACGUACUGAUUAACAGAACUUGUCGAGGGCAUUGGUAUUUGCGAGGCGAGAGGUGAAAUUCUAUGACCCCCGCAAGACCUCCUGAAGCGAAAGCGUCCUGCCAAGGAUGUUUUCAUUAAUCAUGAACGAAAGUUAGAGGAUCGAAGGCGAUCAGAUACCGCCCUAGUUCUAACCCUAAACGAUGCCAACCAUCAAUCCGCGCGUAGUACCCUUCUUAACGGACUCGGCGGGCAGCUCCCCACUCACGGGAAACCAGAGUCUCUGGGUUCCGGGGGGAGUCUGGUUGCAAAGCUGAAACUUAAAGGAAUUGACGGAAAGGCACCACCAGGCGUGGAGCUGCGGCUUAAUUUGACUCAACACGGGCCACCUCACCAGGCCAGCACUCUUGUAUGAUUGACAGAUCGAGAGCUCUUUCUCGAUUCAGUGGAUGGUGGUGCAUGGCCGUUCUUAGUUGGUGGAGUGAUCUGUCUGGUUAAUUCCGAUAACGAACGAGACUCUCCCCUGCUAACUAGUCGGUUGGAUUUUGAUCGGUGAGUUGUGUACCGGGACAACCUAGUGUUUCUGGAGUUUGUUGGGCGGUUCAUGGGUUCGCUCGUGUUCCGUUCCUCUGCUUCGGUCUCUAGACCUCGGACCACACACUCCAAAUCCGCCGCUUAUGCUAUGACUCUUCUUAGAGGGAUUCACGGUACUGAAGCCGUCAGAGACUGAGAGCAAUAACAGGUCUGUGAUGCCCUUAGAUGCUCUGGGCCGCACGCGCGCUACAAUGCCGGGCACAGCAGGUAGUUUUCCUUCUCCGACAGGAGCGGGUAACCCUGUGAAAGCCCUUGCUUUAAUGUCUUUGACAUGAUUGGCGUGCUUGGGCCUGGGGCUUGCAAUUCUUUCCCACAAACGAGGAAUGCCUAGUAGCGGCGGGUCACUGAGCCCGCCGUGAUUCAGUCCCUGCCCUUUGUACACACCGCCCGUCGCUACUACCGAUUGGGUGUACCAGUGAGGGCCUUGACUGGCGUCCGUUGCCUUCUUGGGCAAGCGGGUCCGACGGGAAGAGGUCCGAACUGGUGCACUUAGAGGAAGUAAAAGUCGUAACAAGGUUUCCGUAGGUGAACUGCGGAAGGAUCAUUA
Molecule: ribosomal RNA, 2244 nt
Filed under: Stegocephalus inflatus
Lineage: Eukaryota; Metazoa; Arthropoda; Malacostraca; Amphipoda; Stegocephalidae
Description: 18S ribosomal RNA
Rfam family: Eukaryotic small subunit ribosomal RNA
Source: RNAcentral